This 691-nucleotide long non-coding RNA is filed under the name Malus domestica (apple). RNAcentral's name for it is "long non-coding RNA (MDOM_LNC004304)". The record is from RNAcentral. Lineage: Eukaryota; Viridiplantae; Streptophyta; Magnoliopsida; Rosales; Rosaceae.
CAGGGUGUAUAAAAGUAAUAAAUUAAAAUCCUUAAACUUCUCCUCAAUCAUAACCUCAGCUCUUCUAACACCUAUCUUGCCAAAUAACUCAUCUGUAAAAUAAUAGGUGAGGGGUGAGCAACAACCACUAUCACUCAGUGAGUAGAAUAAAUAAUAUGCCAGUCAAGCUUGCCAUUUUAAUCACACUAUAAAAUAGGAUAAUAAUAUCAAAGCUUUAGCCACAUAAUUCCAUAUCACAUCAUCCCUUUACGUGUCCAUUAUAUCCUUCAUAAAUUGUAACUCACCACGUGACUCCUAAUGGCCAUCUGCCCUAAUGUCCCCGAGUGUAGUUUACAUUUAUCCCUCGGAUUAAUGCAACACCAAAGUUCUCAUGCUCCAUGAACAUCUCAAGUAAUUUCUUAUACAAUAUAUAUCCCAUCAUAAAACAUUUACACAAAAUCCAACAUGCUUGACUUAAAAUAGAUAGAGAUUUGAAAUAUAGAAAACCCACAAUAGCUCAUGGUUUUCAUUUAUCAAAAAAUAAGAAUAUUUUAAACACAUUACAUAAACCACUCACCUUGAUAAUCCAAGCUUUGGCAAGACAACCCAACUAACAAUCUCCACACAACAAACCCUAAACCCUAUUUCUUUCUCUCUUUACCCUCACUCCCUUUCUCUACACUGAACCUUCGCUGCAUGCUCUGCAUGUUUC